AGCAGCAAUCGUGGAGUGUUUUACUUGAUCAUCGUUGGCGUGAUUUUGGGUGUUAAUGGUAUCUACGGUGGCGGUUCGCUGGUGUAGUCAUGGACCUUGCAUUUUUCCAGAAUUUCUUGCAAAUGGGUCCUUGGACGAUAUGACUAAGAAUCUGAGUGCAGGUACAGUUUUUGCGUGAUCGAUUUCAAAACAACAAUGGGAAAUUGCCUUUUCAUCAUCCAGGAUUUUUUCGGAUAAAGUAAAACAAGAAAUCGAAGAUUGUGCAGCUGAUUUUGUAGACGAUCACGAAUGGACUCAGUAGUGUUAGAAAUGUCCACACCGGAAGUCCAGAGCGGACGUGACAAGCUGCAGAGCGCGCCGCGGGACGCCAAUGCUGCUGCCAAGGCUGGUUAUUGCAUCUUCCACACGUCUGAGUGGCAACAUUGGCCGGUGUGUUAGUGCAUUUAACCCAUAAAAAUCAACGCAGAACCGCCGUUUUUCGAUUUUGCCUUUUUUGGCGACCAAAACCACUGGAAAAGACCGGGGAGAAGUUGAUUACCUGACAUUUUGAUCAAAAGCAAUGUCAAGUAACCUGAUGUUGUAAAAAUGCCUGCCUAGUGGCGCAGGACGUAGUGCAAAUGCCGGACGAAGGGUCAUAGAGAAGUGUGAAGUAUGUGUGAAGUAGUACGUGUGAAAAUUUGAAUUCAUUUUUAGCUUGAGUAAUUAAUCGUCGAUAUUUUCGCUGAUUUGCUAUAUGUUCCCAGUGGGUGAAAAUCGGUUUAUGUUGCCCUAUGCUGGAAUAUUCAUAUCUUCAAAUGGAUGUUCUUCCCGCUUGCUGUAGGCUA
This is a long non-coding RNA of Paramacrobiotus metropolitanus, 824 nucleotides long. RefSeq lists it as uncharacterized. NCBI's taxonomy places the organism in Eukaryota, Metazoa, Tardigrada, Eutardigrada, Parachela, Macrobiotidae. The transcript has 4 exons. The record is from RefSeq and is a predicted model, not a curated record.